Molossus molossus (Pallas's mastiff bat) is the source of this 104-nucleotide small nuclear RNA. The record is from RefSeq and is a predicted model, not a curated record. Lineage: Eukaryota; Metazoa; Chordata; Mammalia; Chiroptera; Molossidae.
GUGCUCGCUUCAGUAGCGCAUAUACUAAAAUUGGAACGAUUCAGAGAUUAGCAUGGCCCGUGUGCAAAGAUGACACCCAAAUUCGUGAAGCGUUCCAUGUAUUU